CCCCUCCCACCACCCCAACCACCCCUCACUCCAUCUCCAAACGCUCCCCGCCUUCAUCCUCCUCAUCCUCCUCCCACCCCUCCGACGUGCUGAAGGAGCUGGAGGAGCUGGGGCGGCUCCGCGCCGAAGCCAAACGGGACCGGCAGCGGGACCGGGAGCGGGAGCGGGAGCUGGGAUGGGCGAGCUCCCGGCAGCUGCGGCAGCAGCAGAGCCUGGAGCACCGGCUGCUGGAACGGCGCUACCAGGAGCUGGCCGAGAGCCGGCGGCAGGCGCAGGCGGCGCGGAAAGCGGCGGCCGAGGAGGAACGCUUGGCCGACCUGGCCUCGGAUCUUCUGCUCCGCUACCUCCUGAGAGGGCCCGGAGGCGUCGUGGCCGAGGAUAAACGGUCCGAGGAGGAGGAGGAUGAGGAGGAGGAAGGGUUUGGAGGUGGGAAGGAUGGGUUUGGUGGUGAGGAAGAGGAUGAGGAGUUUGGUGGUUAUAAGAGGAAGGAGGGGUUUGGUGGUGGUGACCUCAAUGAUCUUGGUGGCUACAAGGGCAAGGACAGGUUUGGUCUUGGUGAGGACGUCAAUGAUGAGCUUGGUGGCCACCAGAGCUACAAGAGCAGGUUUGGCCUCAGCAAUGACCUCAAUGAUGAUCUCAGUGAUGACCUUGGUGGCUACAAGGCCAAGGACAGGUUUGGUCUUGGCGAUGACCUCAACGAUGACCUCAACGAUGACCUUGGUGGCCACCAAACCUACAAGACCAAGGACAGGUUUGGCCUCAGCAACGACCUCAACGAUGACCUUGGUGGCUACAAGGCCAAGGACAGGUUCAACCUUGGCAAUGACCUCAACGAUGACCUCAUCGAUGACCACCAGACCUUCAAGACCAAGGACAGAUUUGGGUUUGGCAAUGACCUCAACGAUGACCUCGAUGACCACCAGACCUACAGGACCAGGGACAGAUUUGGCCUCAACAACGACCUCAACGACGACUUUGACGUCUACAAAUCCAAGGACAGGUUCAACCUCGAUGGCUACAAGGGCGGCUACGACGCCAACGACGCCAACGAGGUCUUCAAGGUCAACCGGCGCUUCAAGCUCAGAGGUGGCGCCAACGAUGACCUGAAGGCCAACGAUGACCUCGGUGACAACUUCAAGAUCAGGGGCGGCUUGGACGACCUCAACGGCGGCUUGGAGGACAACGAGAUCCUCCCGGCGCGUGGCCACCGCGGCAACCGGAUCGCCACGGCUUCAUCAUCAUCAUCAUCAUCAUCUUCAGAGGUGACCACCGGCGAUUCCGAGGAGGUGUCACCACAAGACCCGGCCGAGGUGGACGAGCUGGACCCCGGAACCAUCGACCAACUGAUCGAGCUGUCCAGCAAGCUCCACCUGCCGGCCGACGACGUGGUGGACAUCAUCCACGACGUGGAGCAGAAACGCAAAGAGGAGGAGGCCACGGGCUUGGGCAUGGCCAUGGCGGCCAUGGGCGCGGUGGCGCCGGCCGCGGAUGAGGAGACGCCGCCGCCGAAGGUGCCGGGUCGGGUCCCCAAAUCCAGGAUCCGGCCGCCGGAGCAGAUGCCGGCCAGGACUUUGGUGCCGCGGCGUCCGCCGCCGCCGCUGAGGGAUCGCCAGGUGGAGAAAUAUCUCGAGAGGGUUUUGGGGAGCCCUCCCCGGGGGUAUCCC
Molecule: long non-coding RNA, 1664 nt
Organism: Junco hyemalis (dark-eyed junco)
Lineage: Eukaryota; Metazoa; Chordata; Aves; Passeriformes; Passerellidae
Source: Ensembl